GGACAUCCCAUAAUCAAUUCUCUUAUGGAUUUUUAAUUUCUAGAGCCUCUUCUCCUCUUCCUCUCUUCUUCCUCCAGAUCUCCUAUCACUUUGGAGUGUCCAAGGUACUUGUAGAAGAGGAAAGAGAUCAGCUGUCGAAGUUAUUCACAGACUAGCAUCUCCGAGCUCCUGAUCUGCGCUAGUCUUCACAUGGAUUUUUUUAUAGAGGCC
Molecule: long non-coding RNA, 210 nt
Filed under: Elaeis guineensis (African oil palm)
Lineage: Eukaryota; Viridiplantae; Streptophyta; Magnoliopsida; Arecales; Arecaceae
Description: long non-coding RNA (EGUI_LNC037560)
Source: RNAcentral